GCCGACUUAGCUCACCUGGUAGAGCAGCUCCCUCGUAACGAGCAGGUAGUUGGUUCAAGUCCGACAGUCGGCU
Non-coding RNA from Treponema sp. JC4, 73 nucleotides. The record is from Rfam. Lineage: Bacteria; Pseudomonadati; Spirochaetota; Spirochaetia; Treponematales; Treponemataceae.